RNAcentral lists this ribosomal RNA (430 nucleotides) under Pseudomonadota bacterium. Its description in RNAcentral is "Proteobacteria bacterium partial 16S ribosomal RNA". It matches the Rfam family "Bacterial small subunit ribosomal RNA", at positions 355 to 776 of the family's 1533-position model. Lineage: Bacteria; Pseudomonadati; Pseudomonadota. The record is from RNAcentral.
UGGGGUAUAUUGGACAAUGGGGGGAACCCUGAUCCAGCCAUGCCGCGUGUGUGAAGAAGGCCUUAUGGUUGUAAAGCACUUUAAGCGAGGAGGAGGGUACUGGUAUUAAUACUACCAGGUACUGGACGUUACUCGCAGAAUAAGCACCGGCUAACUCUGUGCCAGCAGCCGCGGUAAUACAGAGGGUGCGAGCGUUAAUCGGAUUUACUGGGCGUAAAGCGUGCGUAGGCGGCUAAUUGAGUCGGAUGUGAAAUCCCCGAGCUUAACUUGGGAAUUGCAUUCGAUACUGGUUAGCUAGAGUGUGGGAGAGGAUGGUAGAAUUCCAGGUGUAGCGGUGAAAUGCGUAGAGAUCUGGAGGAAUACCGAUGGCGAAGGCAGCCAUCUGGCCUAACACUGACGCUGAGGUACGAAAGCAUGGGGAGCAAACAGG